Molecule: ribosomal RNA, 572 nt
Filed under: Streptomyces sp. R90-8
Lineage: Bacteria; Bacillati; Actinomycetota; Actinomycetes; Kitasatosporales; Streptomycetaceae
Description: bacterial SSU rRNA
Rfam family: Bacterial small subunit ribosomal RNA
Source: RNAcentral
CAUUCACGGAGAGUUUGAUCCUGGCUCAGGACGAACGCUGGCGGCGUGCUUAACACAUGCAAGUCGAACGAUGAACCACUUCGGUGGGGAUUAGUGGCGAACGGGUGAGUAACACGUGGGCAAUCUGCCCUUCACUCUGGGACAAGCCCUGGAAACGGGGUCUAAUACCGGAUACGACACUCUCGGGCAUCCGAUGAGUGUGGAAAGCUCCGGCGGUGAAGGAUGAGCCCGCGGCCUAUCAGCUUGUUGGUGAGGUAACGGCUCACCAAGGCGACGACGGGUAGCCGGCCUGAGAGGGCGACCGGCCACACUGGGACUGAGACACGGCCCAGACUCCUACGGGAGGCAGCAGUGGGGAAUAUUGCACAAUGGGCGAAAGCCUGAUGCAGCGACGCCGCGUGAGGGAUGACGGCCUUCGGGUUGUAAACCUCUUUCAGCAGGGAAGAAGCGAAAGUGACGGUACCUGCAGAAGAAGCGCCGGCUAACUACGUGCCAGCAGCCGCGGUAAUACGUAGGGCGCGAGCGUUGUCCGGAAUUAUUGGGCGUAAAGAGCUCGUAGGCGGUCUGUCGCG